AGGAAUUGGCGGGGGAGCACCACAACAGGUGGAGCCUGCGGUUUAAUCGGACUCAACGCCGGGAAACUCACCAGUUAAGACAGCUGAAUGAUAGUCGGGCUGAAGACUCUACUUGACUAGCUGAGAGGAGGUGCAUGGCCGUCGUCAGUUCGUACUGUGAAGCAUCCUGUUAAGUCAGGCAACGAGCGAGACCCACGCCAACAGUUGCCAGCUCGUCCUCCGGGAUGGUGGGGACACUGUUGGGACCGCCUCUGCUAAAGAGGAGGAAGGAAUGGGCAACGGUAGGUCAGCAUGCCCCGAAUUAACUGGGCUACACGCGGGCUACAAUGGGUGGGACAAUGGGUAUCGACACCGAAAGGUGAAGGCAAUCUCCUAAACCCACCCUUAGUUCGGAUUGUGGGUUGCAACUCACCCACAUGAAGCUGGAAUCUGUAGUAAUCGUGUCUCAAAAUGGCACGGUGAAUAUGUCCCUGCUCCUUGCACACACCGCCCGUC
Molecule: ribosomal RNA, 495 nt
Filed under: uncultured archaeon
Lineage: Archaea
Description: bacterial SSU rRNA
Rfam family: Archaeal small subunit ribosomal RNA
Source: RNAcentral